GGGGGUAGUGUUAUUGGCACAAAAGUUUUUGGAGCUUUAAGAAAUCUAUCAGAGGGUUCCUUUCUAA
This 67-nucleotide transfer RNA is filed under the name Xylonora corona. Its description in RNAcentral is "tRNA-Gln". Lineage: Eukaryota; Metazoa; Mollusca; Bivalvia; Myida; Xylophagaidae. The record is from RNAcentral.